Canis lupus familiaris (dog) is the source of this 580-nucleotide long non-coding RNA. RefSeq lists it as uncharacterized. The transcript has 3 exons. NCBI's taxonomy places the organism in Eukaryota, Metazoa, Chordata, Mammalia, Carnivora, Canidae. The record is from RefSeq and is a predicted model, not a curated record.
GGGACAGCUGGGAGCCUGUAUUUCUGAAGCCCUAGAGAUCCAGGGGGAGGCCCAGAGGCUGCCAGAAGGCCCCCUUCCUGAAAACAGAGACAAGAAAAGGAGGGAGUCUGCCAAGGGCAUUUUGGGCACCCAGCCCGGCUGAGAUAUUGGCACAGCAUCAUGGGCAGGGAGAGCUGGGCUGGGAAGGUUUCCUGGUAACUGAGGGGCAGGGGAAGGGGCCGGGUGGCCUGAUGGGGGAAUUAAGUAGCUGGGGCGGGCCAGUUGAGGCCUGGGGGUGCGACAGGCAGAAAGCAGGGGCUCGGGGGCACCUGCCUUUGCCAGGAAGCAGGCCGGUCCCCUUACCGCGCCAGAGGGAGCAGCGUCAUCAAGACUUUGUGUCUCAGAAGGUCCCGAUGCAGCUCCUGGAAAUGACGGAACUUCUUUUUGGUGGUCCAGAAUGCAGGUCUCCUUGUCUCCCGGCUUGAUGGACAUCCGGGUUGUUUCUCGGAUGUUGCGAUAAAACUCCCAUUAACAUUCCUGUAAUAACACCCAGUGCUGAUCCCGUCAAGUGCCCCCCGCCCCCUCAGUAUAUUCCUCAGCC